Molecule: transfer RNA, 90 nt
Filed under: Candidatus Roizmanbacteria bacterium
Lineage: Bacteria; Candidatus Roizmaniibacteriota
Description: tRNA-Ser
Rfam family: tRNA
About the family: Transfer RNA (tRNA) molecules are approximately 80 nucleotides in length.
Source: RNAcentral
GGAGAUGUGCCGGAGUGGUUGAACGGGCUGGUCUCGAAAACCAGUAUGGCCGCAAGGUCAUCGGGGGUUCGAAUCCCUCCAUCUCCGCCA